This 430-nucleotide ribosomal RNA is filed under the name uncultured bacterium. RNAcentral describes it as "bacterial SSU rRNA". It matches the Rfam family "Bacterial small subunit ribosomal RNA", at positions 355 to 776 of the family's 1533-position model. The record is from RNAcentral.
UGGGGAAUAUUGCACAAUGGGCGAAAGCCUGAUGCAGCAACGCCGCGUGGGUGAAGAAGGCCUUUGGGUCGUAAAGCCCUUUCGAUGGGAAAGAAGGGUCUAUCGUCAAACAGACGAUAGAUUUGACGGUACCUAGAGAAGAAGCACCGGCCAAUCUCGUGCCAGCAGCCGCGGUAAUACGAGAGGUGCAAGCGUUGUUCGGAAUUAUUGGGCGUAAAGAGCACGUAGGCGGAUUCGUGUGUCAAUUGUGAAAUACCUGGGCUUAACCCGGGAAUUGCAGUUGAAACUGCGAGUCUUGAAUACCUGAGAGGGUGGGAGAAUUCCUGGUGGAGAAGUGAAAUUCGUAGAUAUCAGGAGGAAUACCGGAGGCGAAGGCGCCUGCCUGGCAGUGUAUUGACGCUGAGGUGCGAAAGCGUGGGGAGCAAACAGG